Molecule: ribosomal RNA, 253 nt
Filed under: uncultured bacterium
Lineage: Bacteria
Description: partial 16S ribosomal RNA
Rfam family: Bacterial small subunit ribosomal RNA
Source: RNAcentral
UACGUAGGGUGCGAGCGUUAAUCGGAAUUACUGGGCGUAAAGCGUGCGCAGGCGGUUUUUCAAGUCUGAUGUGAAAGCCCCGGGCUUAACCUGGGAACUGCAUUUGAUACUGGCAGACUAGAGUAUGGUAGAGGGGGGUAGAAUUCCUGGUGUAGCGGUGAAAUGCGUAGAUAUCAGGAGGAAUACCAGUGGCGAAGGCGACCCCCUGGGCCAAUACUGACGCUGAGGUACGAAAGCGUGGGUAGCGAACAGG